CCAGUCUGCGGGGGAGAUGGAGAAGGUCCCACCAUGCUCCUGCACAAAUCUCAGGAUAGCUGGGGAAUGAGAAUCCAGCACUUUGGGCCUAGGACCUAGAAGGAGAGGUCUUUUGGGAGAGGUAUGGGGACAUCUGAAGGAGGACUUCUUGGAAGGGGAGGGGCUGGAGCAGAGGCAAGAGUGAUUUUGUCAGAUGGAGAGAAGGUUCUCUACAUGGGCGGGGCUGGCAGAGGCAGAUGCCCAGACAGGUCACAACUCUCUAGGUGCCCAAUUACCUGCCCUCGGUGAGCUCAGCCAUCGGUGGGGAGGUGCCCCAGCGCUACGUGUGGCGUUUCUGCAUCGGCCUGCACUCGGCGCCUCGCUUCUUGGUGGCCUUCGCCUACUGGAACCACUACCUCAGCUGUACCUCCCCGUGUUCCUGCUAUCGCCCGCUCUGCCGCCUCAACUUCGGCCUCAAUGUCGUGGAGAACCUCGCGUUGCUAGUGCUCACUUAUGUCUCCUCCUCUGAGGACUUCACCGUCCAUGAAAAUGCUUUCAUUGUGUUCAUUGCCUCAUCCCUCGGGCACA
RNAcentral lists this small RNA (567 nucleotides) under Pongo abelii (Sumatran orangutan). RNAcentral describes it as "retained intron". The record is from RNAcentral. Lineage: Eukaryota; Metazoa; Chordata; Mammalia; Primates; Hominidae.